Non-coding RNA from Schistocerca serialis cubense, 73 nucleotides. Lineage: Eukaryota; Metazoa; Arthropoda; Insecta; Orthoptera; Acrididae. The record is from the annotation of a RefSeq genome assembly.
GUCCAGGUGGCUUAGUGGUCAGAACAUCUGCCUAAUAAGCAGGAGACCCAGGUUCAAAUCCUGGUCCAGCACA